Thalassophryne amazonica is the source of this 2486-nucleotide long non-coding RNA. RefSeq lists it as uncharacterized. The transcript has 4 exons. NCBI's taxonomy places the organism in Eukaryota, Metazoa, Chordata, Actinopteri, Batrachoidiformes, Batrachoididae. The record is from RefSeq and is a predicted model, not a curated record.
CAAAAAAAAAAACUGGAACUUGAACAGCAGUCAGCAGGUUUUAGUAAUUCAGUUCUAUAUAGACAUGUAGGGCGAUCCUUUAAAAAAAAAAAAAACAGAGAACACAUAAAAACUACACUGUGCCAAAGACGGAAAAUAAAAAAUACUAAAAUUUAAAAAAUCUGAAAAAAUUUAUUGAAAAUAAAACAGCUGAGUCAAAGUCAGAAAUUAAGAAAAGGUUUUUCAGCUUUUCAAGAACACAAAAAUUGCUGUCUGGUUGUUUUUUUCAGUUGAUGUGUAAAUAACUCUGUUUCUUCUUUGAACCCUCAGCGGUUUAGUGAUUGACACAAAUAUGGGAACCUGCUGAAGGUGGAUUCAAACGGGAAUAUUUUAGCCUGCAGUCACGGCUUCUACUUCUACAAAGGGCAAGAAAUUCAAAGUUAUUAUCCCAACAACUUUAUUCAGAAAGGAGACACUGACCGCUUCCACAUCCUCAACACCCUUUUUAAUCUUCCAGGUACAAAUAACUUUUAUUGUCCUUUAUGAUAUUAUUAAAAAAAAUCACAAUAGUCAGACAGGCUUAAAUCACAUGUAUUCAUAUGAUGUUUUCUGUCAUUGACACUGACUGUAUGGAAUUAGUUUGUGUGAAAAUUGCUGGAAUAAUAAUAUCGCUCACUCACUAGUUCUCACUCACUCCAAUUAAGGGUCACGGGGGCGGGGCUGGAGCCUAUCCCACCAGUGGAAUAAUAAUAGAUAUUUUUAAAUCUACAGUACAAGAAGUAAUAACUACUCUUGUUAUUAUUUUAUUUGUGUGAGUCUGGAAUUAUGGGCCCAGAACACAUUAUUAUUGUGUAAACUGAUAUCAUGUUUGAUUUUCAUGUUUUUAAUAAUUGUGUUUUUAAUUUUUGUGUUUUAAUUUGGACUGCAUUGUAAAGAUUAUUUGAACAGAGUUGUACAAAGUAUUAUUUGUUAUUGUUAUUUUUUAAUUGUUGCAUUAUUAUUAUUAUUUAAAUACCUAUAAAUGGACACACGUAGGUAUAAGUUAAAUAUAUGUUAUUUGUAAAAUGAAGAAAACUUCCCUUUCUUAUAUUUCACAACUUGUGUGUACGAAAAAAUGUACGUAUUCAACCUAUCACAUUAAAAUUUAUUAAAAUUAAUUACACAAUUUUUAAUCCAAUACAUCAAAUAGCGAUGAUUCACUGAAGCCUCUUGGGGCUGCUCUAUACAUGAUGUCCUUUCAUGUUAUAAGUUUAUUCGCUGUAUUGUACGGUGGCCAAUAGGGGCCACAACAUUUCCAAAUUACGACAAUAGAAAGUACAGAAAACAUUUACGCAUCAAACAAACAAACAUUUGCAUCAACAUAAUAACAGGUUGUUCCAUUCAAAAAAUGUCUUGCAAAUUGAAAAACGCUUGCAAACACAGAACACGAAGAAAUGUCACCUACAGCAUGUUACAGAAAAUUCAGACGACAUGCGUGAAAUGAGAGACACUUUGCAAAGAUCCACAACACAUCAGAAAUUAUGAGAACACAAAAACAAGCUUCUGUCCAGAAGACGUUAUCUGACCUUUAUUCUUCAGUGUGUUGCAAAUUAAAUAACAAAAUGAAUAAAUACAUAGCUAGCAUAAGAGUAAAAUCACAAUAAGGCAAAUAAAUAAAAAUAAUUUAGUCAGUUCCGCUGAUCAGGUAGAGAUCACAAGUGGAGCGCUGCGAUGCAUGAGAUGGUCAAUCAGUAAAUGUUAUCAGGGCAGAAUCCUCUUUUUGGGUUGCUGGUACUUCUAUUAUGUUUUGAUGGUUUGUGGCUUUUUGGGUGUGAUGUGUGAAUUUGCAGUAGACGUGCUAUCAUAUAAAAUUGUUAUGUGUACUAUCGGUUCAAUUUGUUUGUGUCCUCUGUGUUUACAAGUAGGUUGUUUUUUCUUCAGUUAGCAAGACAUUUUUGAUAAACUACCUCUUGUUGAAUUGAUGCAGCUGGAGGUUCUGUUUAUAUUUGUAAGUAUUCUUUGCAUUUGCUAGUGUUGUGGCCCCUAUCGGCCACAAUAAUAUUAAUGGCAAAAAUGUGUAUCAUACUUUUCAGAAUGCUGUUAAACCUCACCUUAACCUUUAACCCUAAUUUCCACUCUACCUGUAACAAUACGUUGCUCUUCUGGAGAACACAUUUAACAAAUUAAAUUAUGUAAUUGUACUUUGCAGAGACAUACCUCUAUGCCUGCCUUGUGGAAUUUUUCACGAAUUCCCAGAGAUACAAAAACCUGUUGAAUGGUUACCAGCACGGUGACUUGUUUAUGUCCUUCAGAAGCAUGUUCCAGGAUGUCCGCGAUGCAAUGGACUACAUUCACAAUAGCGGAACUCUGAAAGAUGCAACACUCAAGAAUAUGGAUAAAUACGUUAUCAAAGAUGUGAGUAGUAAACUGAAAUGUUAUAGAUUUAACAAAUUGAUUGAACAAGUUUACUUUUACAAUCUGGUAUAUGUAUAUUAAAAUGUUGGAAAUCAAAUGCCUGAAUGCUAUAU